UGCAGUCGACGAGAUCUUCGGAUCUAGUGGCGCACGGGUGCGUAACGCGUGGGAAUCUGCCCUUGGGUUCGGAAUAACUUCUGGAAACGGAAGCUAAUACCGGAUGAUGACGUAAGUCCAAAGAUUUAUCGCCCAAGGAUGAGCCCGCGUAGGAUUAGCUAGUUGGUGGGGUAAAGGCCCACCAAGGCGACGAUCCUUAGCUGGUCUGAGAGGAUGAUCAGCCACACUGGGACUGAGACACGGCCCAGACUCCUACGGGAGGCAGCAGUAGGGAAUAUUGGACAAUGGGCGAAAGCCUGAUCCAGCAAUGCCGCGUGAGUGAUGAAGGCCUUAGGGUUGUAAAGCUCUUUUACCCGGGAUGAUAAUGACAGUACCGGGAGAAUAAGCUCCGGCUAACUCCGUGCCAGCAGCCGCGGUAAUACGGAGGGAGCUAGCGUUGUUCGGAAUUACUGGGCGUAAAGCGCACGUAGGCGGCUAUUCAAGUCAGAGGUGAAAGCCCGGGGCUCAACCCCGGAACUGCCUUUGAAACUAGAUAGCUUGAAUCCAGGAGAGGUGAGUGGAAUUCCGAGUGUAGAGGUGAAAUUCGUAGAUAUUCGGAAGAACACCAGUGGCGAAGGCGGCUCACUGGACUGGUAUUGACGCUGAGGUGC
This 650-nucleotide ribosomal RNA is filed under the name uncultured bacterium. RNAcentral's name for it is "bacterial SSU rRNA". It matches the Rfam family "Bacterial small subunit ribosomal RNA", at positions 56 to 754 of the family's 1533-position model. The record is from RNAcentral.